This is a long non-coding RNA of Cyprinus carpio (common carp), 301 nucleotides long. RefSeq lists it as uncharacterized. The transcript has 3 exons. NCBI's taxonomy places the organism in Eukaryota, Metazoa, Chordata, Actinopteri, Cypriniformes, Cyprinidae. The record is from RefSeq and is a predicted model, not a curated record.
GUUUGUGAGGUGUGCUUUUCCAAAUGAUUGAACUUAUGAUUUUCUCCAGGUUUAUGAUCCAACUGGAGCCAAAUGUAGAGAGCAGAUCAUCACAGAGACCCAAAAUACCUUAUGCACAGGUCACUGAAAUGAAAUAUGAAGACUUGGAUGGUUGAAACACAUUCUCUUCUCGUUAAUGACUUUGAGCCCUGAGGCCUCAAACAGGAGCCUGCAGACCUUCGGAUUGAUCCCCUCCUGUCUCCUUCAGAACAUUUUAACCACACCGAAGAAAGAAAAUUACAUGGCUUUCGGCAACAUGGUG